AGUGAACGCUGGCGGUAGGCCUAACACAUGCAAGUCGAACGGCAGCACAGUAAGAGCUUGCUCUUACGGGUGGCGAGUGGCGGACGGGUGAGGAAUACAUCGGAAUCUACUUUUUCGUGGGGGAUAACGUAGGGAAACUUACGCUAAUACCGCAUACGACCUACGGGUGAAAGCAGGGGAUCUUCGGACCUUGCGCGAUUGAAUGAGCCGAUGCCGGAUUAGCUAGUUGGCGGGGUAAAGGCCCACCAAGGCGACGAUCCGUAGCUGGUCUGAGAGGAUGAUCAGCCACACUGGAACUGAGACACGGUCCAGACUCCUACGGGAGGCAGCAGUGGGGAAUAUUGGACAAUGGGCGCAAGCCUGAUCCAGCCAUACCGCGUGGGUGAAGAAGGCCUUCGGGUUGUAAAGCCCUUUUGUUGGGAAGGAAAAGCAGCAGGUUAAUACCCCGCUGUUCUGACGGUACCCAAAGAAUAAGCACCGGCUAACUUCGUG
This 492-nucleotide ribosomal RNA is filed under the name uncultured bacterium. RNAcentral's name for it is "partial 16S ribosomal RNA". It matches the Rfam family "Bacterial small subunit ribosomal RNA", at positions 29 to 507 of the family's 1533-position model. The record is from RNAcentral.